This is a ribosomal RNA of Gossypium arboreum, 121 nucleotides long. The record is from Rfam. Lineage: Eukaryota; Viridiplantae; Streptophyta; Magnoliopsida; Malvales; Malvaceae.
GGGUGCGAUCAUACUAGCAUUAAUGCAUCGAAUCCUAUUAAUCUGUAGUUAAGCGUGCUUUGGUGAGUGUAGUACUAGGAUGGGUGACCUCCUUCUUGGGAAGUCAACAUUAUUUAAAUCU